Fundulus heteroclitus (mummichog) is the source of this 584-nucleotide long non-coding RNA. RefSeq lists it as uncharacterized. The transcript is spliced from 2 exons. NCBI's taxonomy places the organism in Eukaryota, Metazoa, Chordata, Actinopteri, Cyprinodontiformes, Fundulidae. The record is from RefSeq and is a predicted model, not a curated record.
CCAUAGAGCUAAAAAGAGUCGCGACACUCCCAUUGGACUCCGUUGUACGCUGUUUGCCGCCCACUUCCGGGGUAUGCAGCCUCGCAUAGUUCCAAAAAGCCAUUCUAUUGCGUCGGACAUCAUUCACUUCCAUUGCUGACUCCCGAGUAACUUCUGAGAUCUUGCUGGACCAGCAGUAUCGUUGUUGUGGCCAUCACAGGUUUCAGUGGAGCGCCCCCCCCCCCCCCCAAAAAAAAUGGUUACGAUACCUGUUCUUAACGCCUGUUUACACAUUUGUUGUUCUUGUUCACACAUACUGUACGUAUGUUUGUUGAUAUUAUUUAUGCUUGUUCCCAUUUUUUUGUUCCACAUUGUUAAUUUUUAUCUUAUGCCAGCUUAUACCUUUAUUAUUAAUGUUGUCCUUCCCUUCAGCCCUGAUGCACUCUGAAGCCUGAUGUAUGUGGAUGAUUUUUAAAAAAAAUAUAUUUAUAAUAUUCCUCCCUGUUCCUUCACUUUGUUCUUGUUAUUCCAGUUAGAUACACACAUUUACACACAUCUUGUUGUCUCACUCAGUAUUUUUUAUUAAACAAUAUUUUAUUCAUUCA